Molecule: ribosomal RNA, 477 nt
Filed under: uncultured bacterium
Lineage: Bacteria
Description: partial 16S ribosomal RNA
Rfam family: Bacterial small subunit ribosomal RNA
Source: RNAcentral
AUUGAACGCUGGCGGCAUGCCUUACACAUGCAAGUCGAACGGUAACAGGUUAAGCUGACGAGUGGCGAACGGGUGAGUAAUGUAUCGGAACGUGCCCCGUCGUGGGGGAUAACUGCUCGAAAGAGCAGCUAAUACCGCAUACGACCUGAGGGUGAAAGCGGGGGAUCGCAAGACCUCGCGCGAUUGGAGCGGCCGAUAUCAGAUUAGGUAGUUGGUGAGGUAAAGGCUCACCAAGCCGACGAUCUGUAGCUGGUCUGAGAGGACGACCAGCCACACUGGGACUGAGACACGGCCCAGACUCCUACGGGAGGCAGCAGUGGGGAAUUUUGGACAAUGGGCGCAAGCCUGAUCCAGCCAUGCCGCGUGCGGGAAGAAGGCCUUCGGGUUGUAAACCGCUUUUGUCAGGGAAGAAAAGGUUCUGGCUAAUACCUGGGACUCAUGACGGUACCUGAAGAAUAAGCACCGGCUAACUACGUG